RNAcentral lists this unclassified non-coding RNA (240 nucleotides) under soil metagenome. Its description in RNAcentral is "partial contains 5.8S ribosomal RNA, internal transcribed spacer 2, and large subunit ribosomal RNA". The record is from RNAcentral.
AACAUCGCGCACCUGCGGGAACCUGCGGAGGGAUCAUUAAUGAUUGGUGGCUGUUGCUGACUAGUGUUUCUAGUAUGUGCACGCCACACCUUCAAUCCACUUACACCUGUGCACCUUCUGUAAUAGAUCUAUGUGGAUACGGAGAUAUGAAAGUUUGCGCUCUCGUACUCUGUUGUAGCAGUCUACUACGUUUUUUUACACACACACAAUAGUCAUUGAAUGUAUUUUUUAUUCUUAUGA